Molecule: ribosomal RNA, 253 nt
Filed under: uncultured bacterium
Lineage: Bacteria
Description: partial 16S ribosomal RNA
Rfam family: Bacterial small subunit ribosomal RNA
Source: RNAcentral
UACGGAGGGCGCGAGCGUUACCCGGAUUUACUGGGCGUAAAGGGCGUGUAGGCGGCUUGGGGCGUCCCAUGUGAAAGGCCACGGCUCAACCGUGGAGGAGCGUGGGAUACGCUCAGGCUAGACGGUGGGAGAGGGUGGUGGAAUUCCCGGAGUAGCGGUGAAAUGCGCAGAUACCGGGAGGAACGCCGAUGGCGAAGGCAGCCCCCUGGCCCACUGGUGACGCUGAGGCACGAAAGCGUGGGGAGCAAACCGG